GAUGAACGCUGGCGGCGUGCCUAAUACAUGCAAGUCGAGCGAACGGACGAGAAGCUUGCUUCUCUGAUGUUAGCGGCGGACGGGUGAGUAACACGUGGAUAACCUACCUAUAAGACUGGGAUAACUUCGGGAAACCGGAGCUAGUACCGGAUAAUAUUUUGAACCGCAUGGUUCAAAAGUGAAAGACGGUCUUGCUGUCACUUAUAGAUGGAUCCGCGCUGCAUUAGCUAGUUGGUAAGGUAACGGCUUACCAAGGCAACGAUGCAUAGCCGACCUGAGAGGGUGAUCGGCCACACUGGAACUGAGACACGGUCCAGACUCCUACGGGAGGCAGCAGUAGGGAAUCUUCCGCAAUGGGCGAAAGCCUGACGGAGCAACGCCGCGUGAGUGAUGAAGGUCUUCGGAUCGUAAAACUCUGUUAUUAGGGAAGAACAUAUGUGUAAGUAACUGUGCACAUCUUGACGGUUCCUAAUCAGAAAGCCACGGCUAACUACGUG
This 497-nucleotide ribosomal RNA is filed under the name uncultured bacterium. RNAcentral's name for it is "partial 16S ribosomal RNA". It matches the Rfam family "Bacterial small subunit ribosomal RNA", at positions 28 to 507 of the family's 1533-position model. The record is from RNAcentral.